This 433-nucleotide long non-coding RNA is filed under the name Mus spicilegus (steppe mouse). RNAcentral describes it as "lncRNA (ENSMSIG00000030534.1)". Lineage: Eukaryota; Metazoa; Chordata; Mammalia; Rodentia; Muridae. The record is from RNAcentral.
ACAGCACAUGUCUGCAGACCUCAAACCCAGGGCAACCAGUUAAGCAUUCUCUGUAGUGUUCUUUCCCAGUCCUUAACUUAUUCUAAUAACAGCUGUUCUGCUAGAGUCUCGGUGAUUAACAGGGUGUCAAGCCACUCCUCCAGAACACUCCAGAAGAGUCUCCAGUGGGGUACCUGAUGGAUUCUGCGUCACAGAUGGCUUCUCCGUACAUCAAGUGAUAAGCGGCUGCCCUGUUUCCAUUUCUCCUGGUGUGAAACUUCACUCCCAGAGGCAUUGGAAGCUAAGAAAGGAGGGCAACGGGAGGAGCACUGUUGAGAAGACAGGCCAACAGAGGAUUUCAAGCUUGCUUUGUAAGCCCUCUGGGUUAGGAAGCCUCAUGAGAGGACGCUUCAGACUCUGUCUACAUCUAACCUGCCGUUUCCAUCGGUUGUUA